GCCUACGGGGGGCAGCAGUGGGGAAUAUUGGACAAUGGGGGGAACCCUGAUCCAGCGACGCCGCGUGAGUGAAGAAGUAUUUCGGUAUGUAAAGCUCUAUCAGCAGGGAAGAAAGAAAUGACGGUACCUGACUAAGAAGCCCCGGCUAACUACGUGCCAGCAGCCGCGGUAAUACGUAGGGGGCAAGCGUUAUCCGGAUUUAUUGGGUUUAAAGGGUGCGUAGGCGGUCCGGAAAGUCAGCGGUAAAAGCCCGGGGCUCAACCCCGGCGAGCCGUUGAAACUGUCGGACUAGAGACGGCGAGAAG
This 305-nucleotide ribosomal RNA is filed under the name uncultured bacterium. Its description in RNAcentral is "bacterial SSU rRNA". It matches the Rfam family "Bacterial small subunit ribosomal RNA", at positions 337 to 657 of the family's 1533-position model. The record is from RNAcentral.